Molecule: ribosomal RNA, 116 nt
Filed under: Gopherus agassizii (Agassiz's desert tortoise)
Lineage: Eukaryota; Metazoa; Chordata; Testudines; Testudinidae
Source: RNAcentral
CACAUCUCCAGUCACACCCUGCACUGGGGUUUGGGCGAGAUCCACAAGCCAAGCAGGGUUGGGCCUGGUCAGUACAUGGAUGGGCGACCUGCCAGGAGAACACAGUGGUGCUGUCU